RNAcentral lists this unclassified non-coding RNA (339 nucleotides) under soil metagenome. RNAcentral describes it as "partial contains 5.8S ribosomal RNA, internal transcribed spacer 2, and large subunit ribosomal RNA". The stretch from base 1 to 120 matches the Rfam family "5.8S ribosomal RNA", at positions 35 to 154 of the family's 154-position model. The record is from RNAcentral.
GAUGAAGAACGUAGCGAAAUGCGAUAACUAAUGUGAAUUGCAGAAUUCAGUGAAUCAUCGAGUCUUUGAACGCACAUUGCGCCCCCUGGUAUUCCGGGGGGCAUGCCUGUCCGAGCGUCAUUGCUGCCCUCAAGCACGGCUUGUGUGUUGGGCUCCGUCCCCCCGGGGACGGGCCCGAAAGGCAGCGGCGGCACCGAGUCCGGUCCACGAGCGUAUGGGGCUUUGUCACCCGCUCUGGAGGCCCGGCCGGCGCCAGCCGACAACCCAUCAUCCUUUUCAGGUUGACCUCGGAUCAGGUAGGGAUACCCGCUGAACUUAAGCAUAUCAAUAAGCGGAGGA